GUCCUACGGGAGGCAGCAGUAGGGAAUCUUCCACAAUGGACGAAAGUCUGAUGGAGCAACGCCGCGUGAGUGAAGAAGGGUUUCGGCUCGUAAAGCUCUGUUGGUAGUGAAGAAAGAUAGAGGUAGUAACUGGCCUUUAUUUGACGGUAAUUACUUAGAAAGUCACGGCUAACUACGUGCCAGCAGCCGCGGUAAUACGUAGGUGACAAGCGUUGUCCGGAUUUACUGGGUGUAAAGGGCGCGGAGGCGGGAUAGCAAGUCAGUCGUGAAAUGCCGAGGCUUAACCUCGGAGCUGCGAUUGAAAA
RNAcentral lists this ribosomal RNA (305 nucleotides) under uncultured bacterium. Its description in RNAcentral is "bacterial SSU rRNA". It matches the Rfam family "Bacterial small subunit ribosomal RNA", at positions 335 to 633 of the family's 1533-position model. The record is from RNAcentral.